This 717-nucleotide ribosomal RNA is filed under the name uncultured Lachnospiraceae bacterium. RNAcentral describes it as "bacterial SSU rRNA". It matches the Rfam family "Bacterial small subunit ribosomal RNA", at positions 61 to 776 of the family's 1533-position model. The record is from RNAcentral. Lineage: Bacteria; Bacillati; Bacillota; Clostridia; Lachnospirales; Lachnospiraceae.
GUCGAACGAAACACCUUAUUUGAUUUUCUUCGGAACUGAAGAUUUGGUGAUUGAGUGGCGGACGGGUGAGUAACGCGUGGGUAACCUGCCCUGUACAGGGGGAUAACAGUCAGAAAUGACUGCUAAUACCGCAUAAGACCACAGCACCGCAUGGUGCAGGGGUAAAAACUCCGGUGGUACAGGAUGGACCCGCGUCUGAUUAGCUGGUUGGUGAGGUAACGGCUCACCAAGGCGACGAUCAGUAGCCGGCUUGAGAGAGUGAACGGCCACAUUGGGACUGAGACACGGCCCAAACUCCUACGGGAGGCAGCAGUGGGGAAUAUUGCACAAUGGGGGAAACCCUGAUGCAGCGACGCCGCGUGAGUGAAGAAGUAUCUCGGUAUGUAAAGCUCUAUCAGCAGGGAAGAAAAUGACGGUACCUGACUAAGAAGCCCCGGCUAACUACGUGCCAGCAGCCGCGGUAAUACGUAGGGGGCAAGCGUUAUCCGGAAUUACUGGGUGUAAAGGGUGCGUAGGUGGUAUGGCAAGUCAGAAGUGAAAACCCAGGGCUUAACUCUGGGACUGCUUUUGAAACUGUCAGACUGGAGUGCAGGAGAGGUAAGCGGAAUUCCUAGUGUAGCGGUGAAAUGCGUAGAUAUUAGGAGGAACAUCAGUGGCGAAGGCGGCUUACUGGACUGAAACUGACACUGAGGCACGAAAGCGUGGGGAGCAAACAGG